UACGUAGGGUGCAAGCGUUAAUCGGAAUUACUGGGCGUAAAGCGUGCGCAGGCGGUUAUGUAAGACAGAUGUGAAAUGCCCGGGCUUAACCUGGGAACUGCAUUUGUGACUGCAUGGCUAGAGUUUGGCAGAGGGGGGUAGAAUUCCACGUGUAGCAGUGAAAUGCGUAGAUAUGUGGAGGAACACCGAUGGCGAAGGCAGCCCCCUGGGUCAAGACUGACGCUCAUGCACGAAAGCGUGGGGAG
Molecule: ribosomal RNA, 245 nt
Filed under: uncultured bacterium
Lineage: Bacteria
Description: partial 16S ribosomal RNA
Rfam family: Bacterial small subunit ribosomal RNA
Source: RNAcentral